This 147-nucleotide unclassified non-coding RNA is filed under the name soil metagenome. RNAcentral describes it as "partial internal transcribed spacer 1". The record is from RNAcentral.
UAAUAAGUGUUUUAUGGCACUUUUUAAAUCCAUAUCCACCUUGUGUGCAAUGUCAGUCGAUCUUCUUCAUGGAGAUCGACCAAACAUCAACCUUUAUCUUUUAACAUCUUUGUCUGAAAAAUAUUAUGAAUAAACAAUUCAAAAUAC